CCUACGGGAGGCAGCAGUGGGGAAUAUUGGGCAAUGGUCGCAAGACUGAACCAGCAAAGCCGCGUGAGGGAGGAAGGCUCUCGGGUUGGUAACUUCUUUUGGCAGGGACGAAGCAAGUGACGGUACCUGACGAAUAAGCCACGGCUAACUACGUGCCAGCAGCCGCGGUAAUACGUAGGUGGCAAGCGUUAUCCGGAUUUACUGGGUGUAAAGGGCGUGUAGGCGGGGAAGGAAGUCAGAUGUGAAAACCACGGGAGCAACCUGUGGCCUGCAGUUGAAACUGUCUGUCUUGAGUGCUGGAGAGGCAAUCGGAAUGCGGGGUGUAGCGGUGAAAUGCGUAGAUAUCCGGAGGAACACCAGUGGCGAAGGCGGAUUGCUGGACAGUAACUGACGCUGAGGCGCGAAAGCGUGGGGAUCAAACAGGAUUAGAUACCCCUGUAGUC
Molecule: ribosomal RNA, 443 nt
Filed under: uncultured bacterium
Lineage: Bacteria
Description: partial 16S ribosomal RNA
Rfam family: Bacterial small subunit ribosomal RNA
Source: RNAcentral